Molecule: ribosomal RNA, 832 nt
Filed under: Brevibacterium sanguinis
Lineage: Bacteria; Bacillati; Actinomycetota; Actinomycetes; Micrococcales; Brevibacteriaceae
Description: bacterial SSU rRNA
Rfam family: Bacterial small subunit ribosomal RNA
Source: RNAcentral
AACGCUGGCUGCGUGCUUAACACAUGCAAGUCGAACGCUGAAGCCCCAGCUUGCUGGGGUGGAUGAGUGGCGAACGGGUGAGUAACACGUGAGUAACCUGCCCCUGACUUCGGGAUAAGCCCGGGAAACUGGGUCUAAUACCGGAUACGACCUGUCCUCGCAUGAGGGUGGGUGGAAAGUUUUUUCGGUUGGGGAUGGGCUCGCGGCCUAUCAGUUUGUUGGUGAGGUAAUGGCUCACCAAGACGACGACGGGUAGCCGGCCUGAGAGGGCGACCGGCCACACUGGGACUGAGACACGGCCCAGACUCCUACGGGAGGCAGCAGUGGGGAAUAUUGCACAAUGGGGGAAACCCUGAUGCAGCGACGCAGCGUGCGGGAUGACGGCCUUCGGGUUGUAAACCGCUUUCAGCAGGGAAGAAGCGAAAGUGACGGUACCUGCAGAAGAAGUACCGGCUAACUACGUGCCAGCAGCCGCGGUAAUACGUAGGGUACGAGCGUUGUCCGGAAUUAUUGGGCGUAAAGAGCUCGUAGGUGGUUGGUCACGUCUGCUGUGGAAACGCAACGCUUAACGUUGCGCGUGCAGUGGGUACGGGCUGACUAGAGUGCAGUAGGGGAGUCUGGAAUUCCUGGUGUAGCGGUGAAAUGCGCAGAUAUCAGGAGGAACACCGGUGGCGAAGGCGGGACUCUGGGCUGUAACUGACACUGAGGAGCGAAAGCAUGGGGAGCGAACAGGAUUAGAUACCCUGGUAGUCCAUGCCGUAAACGUUGGGCACUAGGUGUGGGGGACAUUCCACGUUCUCCGCGCCGUAGCUAACGCAUUAAGUGCCCCGCC